This 497-nucleotide ribosomal RNA is filed under the name uncultured bacterium. Its description in RNAcentral is "partial 16S ribosomal RNA". It matches the Rfam family "Bacterial small subunit ribosomal RNA", at positions 28 to 507 of the family's 1533-position model. The record is from RNAcentral.
GACGAACGCUGGCGGCGUGCCUAAUACAUGCAAGUUGAGCGCUGAAGGUUGGUACUUGUACCAACUGGAUGAGCAGCGAACGGGUGAGUAACGCGUGGGGAAUCUGCCUUUGAGCGGGGGACAACAUUUGGAAACGAAUGCUAAUACCGCAUAAAAACUUUAAACACAAGUUUUAAGUUUGAAAGAUGCAAUUGCAUCACUCAAAGAUGAUCCCGCGUUGUAUUAGCUAGUUGGUGAGGUAAAGGCUCACCAAGGCGAUGAUACAUAGCCGACCUGAGAGGGGGAUCGGCCACAGUGGGACUGAGACACGGCCCAAACUCCUACGGGAGGCAGCAGUAGGGAAGCUUCGGCAAGGGACGAAAGUCUGACCGAGCAACGCCGCGUGAGUGAAGAAGGGUGUCGGAUCGUAAAACUCGGUUGGUAGAGAAGAACGUUGGUGAGAGUGGAAAGCUCAUCAAGUGACGGUAACUACCCAGAAAGGGACGGCUAACUACGUG